Molecule: long non-coding RNA, 1103 nt
Organism: Bos taurus (domestic cattle)
Lineage: Eukaryota; Metazoa; Chordata; Mammalia; Artiodactyla; Bovidae
Source: Ensembl
GUUGUUGCAAACUUCAUGUGUCAGAACCUUUGUUCUUGAGAUCUGGUCAUGGACAGGGAAUGGUAUUCCUGGAAACCUCUACCAAAUUUCUGUUCUGACAAGGGCAAGGCUCCCAGGACUUUCACACUCCGAAGACCUUGUCCUGGCUAAAAGAAGGCAGAUCUCAGCUGGCAGCUGGCUACCUCAGGGCCAGAUCCCCAGAACCUGCCCAGCUGUCAUUGCUAAUGGAGCCAGGCGCCCAGGAUCCAGCCAACCCUCAUGCUCCUCAGGUUACCUAUAAAGAGUGGGGGCCAGGACUCAUGGUCUGCACAAAGGCGGGGAUCGGGGAGAGGUUCACUGCCGCCUCAAAGCCUGAGCCUGGUCAGCCGGUGGCCUUGGCGAGGGCUCUGUGUCCCUACAGGACACAGCCCUCUGUUCCCUGGGUCCCACUGCUCACCCACUGGCCCAAGGCUGGGUGAGCUGGAGGGCCCUAAGCAAAAGGCCAGGAUUUGCUUCUUACCUUACUCUGUACAACUCUCUCUCCACAGACCGACUGACGGUUGCUCACUGAUAGGUGUUUGCUUGGGGGAGGGUCCCACUGCAGCACUGACCAAUGGCUGAGCAGGACCACUAUCCAUCUCUCAGCUGUUUGCUUGGGGGAGGGGCUCCAGCCAAUGACUGCAGCACCAACCAAUGGCUGAGUAGGGCCACUAACGGUCUUUCAUUGACAGCUGGUCCCUUGGGAUAGCGGCCCACUGGGGCGACGACCGAUGGCUGAACAAGACCACCAGUGGUCCCAGGGUAACUGAUGCCUGGUAAUGACAUGCAGGGUAAUGGGUGCACAUCAACAUUCAGUCACAUGCUAAGAGCUGUGAACUGGCCAUGCUCUAUUACUCAAUACUCUGUAAUGGUCUAUAUAGGAAAAGAAUGUGGAUAUAUAGAUUUGUGUAACAGAUUCACUUUGCAGUACACCUGAAACACAACACUGUAAAUCAACUACACUCCAAUUAUUAAAAAAAAAAAAAAAAAAAAAAGCAUACCAACCACAGGACUGAAUUUAAAUCCUAGUUCUGCUAUUUACCAGCUGUUGAAACUUGGGCAAGUUACUUAACAUCUCCAUGAUU